GUUCCCUACGGGGGGGGGGAGCAGUGGGGAAUUUUGGACAAUGGGGGAAACCCUGAUCCAGCCAUCCCGCGUGUAUGAUGAAGGCCUUCGGGUUGUAAAGUACUUUUGGCAGAGAAGAAAAGGUAUCCCCUAAUACGGGAUACUGCUGACGGUAUCUGCAGAAUAAGCACCGGCUAACUACGUGCCAGCAGCCGCGGUAAUACGUAGGGUGCAAGCGUUAAUCGGAAUUACUGGGGCGUAAAGCGUGUGUAGGCGGUUCGGAAAGAAAAGAUGUGAAAUCCCAGGGCUCAACCUUGGAACUGCAUUUUUAACUGCCGAGCUAGAGUAUGUCAGAGGGGGGUAGAAUUCCACGUGUAGCAGUGAAAUGCGUAGAUAUGUGGAGGAAUACCGAUGGCGAAGGCAGCCCCCUGGGAUAAUACUGACGCUCAGACACGAAAGCGUGGGGAGCAAACAGGAUUAGAUACCCUGGUAGUCCACGCCCUAAACGAUGUCAACUAGCUGUUGGGGCCGUUAGGCCUUAGUAGCGCAGCUAACGCGUGAAGUUGACCGCCUGGGGAGUACGGUCGCAAGAUUAAAACUCAAGAAAAUUUGACGGAAGGG
Molecule: ribosomal RNA, 600 nt
Filed under: Alcaligenes faecalis
Lineage: Bacteria; Pseudomonadati; Pseudomonadota; Betaproteobacteria; Burkholderiales; Alcaligenaceae
Description: bacterial SSU rRNA
Rfam family: Bacterial small subunit ribosomal RNA
Source: RNAcentral